UGAGAGAAGGACAGGGAGCUGAAUAGCUGUCCAGGUAUGGCUGGGUGGAAACCGCAGCCGAACAGAAGCCACGGCCUGACGACGAAGGGCGUGCGGUGUCCGAGUGAGCUGGGCUGCCUUUCGCCUCUGCUACAACCUGUCCACAACCACACGGAGGCGGUCUCUGGAAGGGCAAGGAGGGGACGGCUCCGCUGAACAUCUGAAGUCACAACAAAGUCCCUGCUGCUCGGGAACUUCCAUUCACAUGGGCGUGUUACAGACAGCGAACGAUAAACACAGUGAAUAAGUAAAUUAUACUUUCGCCCAGGCCCCCUGCUUGGCUCCGCUGACUGUCUGUGGGAGCGGAUGGACUGUUCACACGGUCCUGUUGGUGCUGACAGAUGUUUUUCAGGACAGCGGAGCAAGGAUGCUCUUCCCCCACUGGCCUGGAUCUCCCGGUGGGAGCUCAGAGCAGUCCUGCGCACCGCACAGGGGGAGCAUCCGGAAGCCCGAGAAGCCCUGGCUGUGAGGACAAAGGAGGCGAUAUCCUCACGACCGGUCACCUUAUGUCA
This is a long non-coding RNA of Phyllostomus hastatus (greater spear-nosed bat), 551 nucleotides long. RefSeq lists it as uncharacterized. The record is from RefSeq and is a predicted model, not a curated record. Lineage: Eukaryota; Metazoa; Chordata; Mammalia; Chiroptera; Phyllostomidae. The transcript is spliced from 3 exons.